Long non-coding RNA from Brachypodium distachyon (stiff brome), 546 nucleotides. RefSeq lists it as uncharacterized. NCBI's taxonomy places the organism in Eukaryota, Viridiplantae, Streptophyta, Magnoliopsida, Poales, Poaceae. The record is from RefSeq and is a predicted model, not a curated record. The transcript is spliced from 2 exons.
CAGCCCGCGCGCGUCACCUCCGCACGCGGCCGCCGCUCUGCAAGUUCGCCGCCGCCUCCGCACGCACACACGUGCGCGGCAUGGAGGAGGAGCUCGGGGAGUACAUCACGACGACGAUGGGCGCACCGUGCACGCCGGCAGGCUGGUCGAGGCCAUCGGAAUCGACCCACUCCACGCUGGCAAGCCCAAGCUGCCAUGUUGGUACUGACAGGUGGGCCGUGGGCCCCACCGGUCAAAAACAUCAUUAAGACGACGAAACUCAGGUGUAGAUCAGGCCAUGAUUGGAACUUCGGAGCCAGAUUUUGCCUGCUCUUAGUAAAUGGUACUGUGCGCACCGUGUCAUUGCUCCUUGACAGAUCACAAGCAUAAUCGGUUGUAUCAAUUUCUCUACUUUUCUAGAUGCUUAUACAUCUCAUGGCAUUUCGAAGCCCAGAUGUAAGGAGUUAUUGUCCAAAGACUGAUUGAACCAGCAACGCUAUGGCCCAGUCUUCCCACUGUAUCUCGGCCAAAACAAGGCUCAACAAUGGCCAAGGCCUUCCAUUCCAA